Macrobrachium nipponense is the source of this 85-nucleotide non-coding RNA. The record is from the annotation of a RefSeq genome assembly. Lineage: Eukaryota; Metazoa; Arthropoda; Malacostraca; Decapoda; Palaemonidae.
GCUGCGGUGUCCGAGUAGUAGUUAAGGAGAUGGACUUGAAAUCCGUUGGACUCUGCCCGCACAGGUUCGAAUCCUGUCCGCAGCG